RNAcentral lists this small nucleolar RNA (104 nucleotides) under Suricata suricatta (meerkat). Its description in RNAcentral is "Small nucleolar RNA U13 (ENSSSUG00005006640.1)". It matches the Rfam family "Small nucleolar RNA U13". The record is from Rfam by way of RNAcentral. Lineage: Eukaryota; Metazoa; Chordata; Mammalia; Carnivora; Herpestidae.
AUCCUUUUGUAGUUCAUAAGUGUGAUGAUUGGGUGUUCACGCUGUUGUGUGACAUGUGCCACCCUUAAACCUUAUUACGACGCUGGCACAUUACCCGUCUGAUG